This 1610-nucleotide long non-coding RNA is filed under the name Citrus maxima (pomelo). Its description in RNAcentral is "long non-coding RNA (CMAX_LNC001795)". Lineage: Eukaryota; Viridiplantae; Streptophyta; Magnoliopsida; Sapindales; Rutaceae. The record is from RNAcentral.
UCAUUUCGAGCUUUGUUCUUAAGUCAUGUCAAAUUCGUAGGUAAAAAAAAGAAAAAAAGAAAAAAAAAAAAAAAAAAAAAAAAGAAAAGGAAAGAGUCUGUGUUUGUUGACUCUAAAGCAUAAUACUGUCGGCACGUGAGAACAAAAAAAACUUCACCUACUCGCGCCAAAAGUUAUAUUCACCAUUAACGCAUAUUUAGUGAACCUUGUAACCGACAGGGGAAAAAGAAAAUUUUAAAAAAAGGCCAACUCAAUUACCUAUUUGCUUGCUUAACCAUAAAAAGAAAAAAGAAUAGAUGCCAAUGCUCAGUUAAGUCUUGUGAAUCAAGUUUAACUUUCUUUUUUUCUUUUUCUUUUUCCCCGUUUCUCCCUCUCCUCUUCAUACGAACAUGCUGUAAAUAAAAUGUGCUUACUAUUAGGGAAAGAAUCUCAAAUGAUUGGGUAUUAUUUAGCAAUGAUUAUCAAUAAUAAGUAUCAAAAUCAAUAAUACAAAAGAAAGAAACAAACUACACAUAUGGCGAAGGGGAGACAACAAAAUUAGAGAUAAGUGAUGGAGGGGAGCACUAAACAUAUCGGUUUAGCCAAGUGUCGUAGGGUUUGAGUUGGUUAUCUUUUGCCAACAAAAUCACGGGGAAACAUUUGGUCCCGGAUUCGACCCCCUUAUGGCCAUCUCAUGACAGCCUAGAUAGAAUACAGAUUCUUUUCUGUUGUCCAACUCCCUUUGCAUCUUCAAACGUAAAGUGUGUCACAAGAAUAACUUACCUUACUCGGAGCGAUAAGGCACUUUUGAGGUGUCUUUACAUAAAAGAGCUGACUUUGUAUUGGUCACACCGCAAAAAUGCAUUAGAAAAAUUCCCAUGAAAAGAGUUGAAACCUGAUAUAGGAAUGGAAAAGGAAAAGGAAAAGGAAAAGGAAAUAUGCUUUGCUGAGAUUGUUAGCAGCUACUGCGGCAAUGUGUUUGUUGGUCCCACCAGGCAGUAAGAUUGGCAAAAUAUUUUCAGCGUGGAUGUCGGAAGAGGAAAUUCAACUGGUUAAAGGAUGGACCCCACUUCCUAAAUUCUGGGCCAGCCUGCUAAACAUGAUGGAUGGACCGGUCAUUAUAAUAGAGUCUUUUAAUAUAUCGAGAAACAAAUCAGCGGCGGAUCUCAUCAGGAGGCUCCACUUACAUUAAAAAACUCGCCACAAAAUAGACCUGAUACCAACCAAUGUGUAAAUGCAGUAGAGCUUUUAAGUUUGGCCAAUUUCACGAUAACACAAGCGUAGCAUUGGCGCAAUGGUGGUGCUAGUCCUUCAUGCCAAGGUGCAACGCGAUAUUGACCAUUCGAAAGCACCAAGAAACUGCCGACAGCCACCGCAAUUACUUUCAUUUUUAGGGCUAUUUAUAUAUAUAUAUAUCAACCAGAAACAUGAGAUUAGGAAUUUCGCAUUUUCCAUGAAACAAUUCAGUUACUGAUUGCUGUUGAAAGUGAAAUAUUUGUCGCGGCAACCAAAUAAAGUUUAUAUUUAAAUGAAAGUGUCUAAGAAAGGGGGCUUUCGUUAAAAUAUGUGCGUGACAGCUAGAGCUAGCUGUCUUGAUGGGAACAAGUGAUGCGGCACAGAUUUGCCAUCUC